This is a long non-coding RNA of Homo sapiens (human), 939 nucleotides long. Ensembl annotates it as long intergenic non-protein coding RNA 2301. The record is from Ensembl. NCBI's taxonomy places the organism in Eukaryota, Metazoa, Chordata, Mammalia, Primates, Hominidae.
GCGUUCCUGUGUGAUGGGGCCGGAGCCAGUAAACAGGCUUCCUUCUCGCUCUGCUGUAUAAGAAGAAGAAGUAGGAGAAACAAAAUAAGGAGGAGAAGAAGUAAAAUAAUUUGAGAAGGAAUAUGAAGGUAGUUUUACAGAAACUGGCAGAUGUGCUGCUAAGAACACAGCUGGAUAGAAAUAUAUUAUGAACAAAGCUAUAAAAAGACAGCUUCUCUAUUUGUCUGAAUCUCUCAGCUACAUGGUCAGUGAUGCUUAAGGAAGACUAAAAAUACGUAUAGCUAUAGCUUUAUGGAAUCGGCAGGCAGGACGCCAUUAGUAUGACAGCAUUUUGCUUCAGCCUCAGGUGAAACAUGAAGAUGAUGGUGGACAGGUGAGCUACGCAGUUCGUGGAAGAACCAGGGGUCACAUGGCCUAGAUGCUACCCUAGAUGAGAAAGAGUCCAAUGGUUAUCAACAAGUUCUGAAAGGCAAGGCCUAAGGUACUGAAAAUUAUAUUACUCAAAGCUGAAGGCAGCAAAUCUGUUCAUGUUUACACAGUUGGGAAAGUGGACUUGUGUUUUUUACAAGCAAACCAGUGACCAGCCAAUGGCAGGAGACCUUCCCCACCCCUAAAGGUGAUGCUCACCUACCGUCAUGGGUAAAAGGAAGCUCUGGCUCGAAUUCCUCAUGUAUUAUUCAUGUGUGAUGCCACCCAACGUGAUUCAGAGAAGAAAAUUCUCAGUGUGUUCACCAGAGGUGAUUACAUGAGAAUAAAGCACGGCCUGAUUUUUUUUCUUGUUCACAGGAAAAAAAAAAGAAAAGAAUGUAGAAUUUCUGAUGUGGGAUUGUUUCGACCUUGGAGAGUGUCCGUAUGAGACACAUGUGUGGUAUACAAAACACCUUUAAGAUUUAAUCAGAAUUGUAUAUCUUUCCAAAUUAAAUUGAUUGCUCCCUCAAA